This 253-nucleotide ribosomal RNA is filed under the name uncultured bacterium. Its description in RNAcentral is "partial 16S ribosomal RNA". It matches the Rfam family "Bacterial small subunit ribosomal RNA", at positions 524 to 776 of the family's 1533-position model. The record is from RNAcentral.
UACGUAGGGUGCAAGCGUUGUCCGGAAUUAUUGGGCGUAAAGAGCUCGUAGGCGGUCUGUCGCGUCGAAUGUGAAAACCCGGGGCUCAACCCCGGGCCUGCAUUCGAUACGGGCAGACUAGAGUUCGGUAGGGGAGUCUGGAAUUCCUGGUGUAGCGGUGAAAUGCGCAGAUAUCAGGAGGAACACCGGUGGCGAAGGCGGGUCUCUGGGCCGAUACUGACGCUGAGGAGCGAAAGCGUGGGGAGCGAACAGG